CGCGUAGGCGGUUUCGUAAGUCAGGUGUGAAAUCCCGGGGCUUAACCCCGGAAGUGCGCCUGAUACUGCGAAACUUGAGUCCCGGAGAGGGUGGUGGAAUUCCCAGUGUAGAGGUGAAAUUCGUAGAUAUUGGGAGGAAUACCGGUGGCGAAGGCGACCACCUGGACGGAGACUGACGCUGAGGCGCGAAAGCGUGGGGAGCAAACAGGAUUAGAUACCCUGGUAGUCCACGCCGUAAACGAUGGGUACUAGGUGUUGCGGGUAUUGACCCCUGCAGUGCCGACGCUAACGCAUUAAGUACCCCGCCUGGGAAGUACGGCCGCAAGGCUAAA
Molecule: ribosomal RNA, 332 nt
Filed under: uncultured bacterium
Lineage: Bacteria
Description: bacterial SSU rRNA
Rfam family: Bacterial small subunit ribosomal RNA
Source: RNAcentral